This 119-nucleotide ribosomal RNA is filed under the name Lupinus angustifolius (narrow-leaved blue lupine). The record is from RNAcentral. Lineage: Eukaryota; Viridiplantae; Streptophyta; Magnoliopsida; Fabales; Fabaceae.
AGGUGCGAUCAUACCAGCACUAAAUCAUCGGAUACCAUCAGACCUCCGCAAUUAAGCGUGCUUGGGCGAGAGUAGUACUAGGAUGGGUGACCUCCUGGGAAGUCCUCGUGUUGCACCUC